Molecule: non-coding RNA, 73 nt
Organism: Potamilus streckersoni
Lineage: Eukaryota; Metazoa; Mollusca; Bivalvia; Unionida; Unionidae
Source: the annotation of a GenBank genome assembly
GCUCCAGUGGCCUAGUGGUUAGAGCGUCUGCUUCAGAUGCUGGAGGUUGUGGGUUCGAUCCACGGCCGAGACA